GGCUCAUAAUUGGAGUCUGGCAUGAAAGAAUUAAUGGGUAACGACUGUCUUUAAUAAUAGUAAAGAAUUUAUUAAGUAGGUGAAAAUACCUACAAUUAUAUAAUAGACGAGAAGACCCUAGAAAUUUUAUAAAUAAAGUAAUACAUACACUCUAAUAUUUUGUUGGGGCGACAGAAUAACAAAUAACUUAUUUUUUAACUAUUAGAAUUAUAUAGUAAGGGAAACUAAAUUACUCUAGGGAUAACAGCAUAAUUUGUAAAAGUUUGUGACCUCGAUGUUGGACUAGGGCUUUUAAUAGUCAGAAGCUAUUAAGGUGAGCUCUGU
Molecule: ribosomal RNA, 324 nt
Filed under: Xerosecta cespitum
Lineage: Eukaryota; Metazoa; Mollusca; Gastropoda; Stylommatophora; Geomitridae
Description: partial 16S ribosomal RNA
Source: RNAcentral